Podarcis lilfordi (Lilford's wall lizard) is the source of this 75-nucleotide non-coding RNA. NCBI's taxonomy places the organism in Eukaryota, Metazoa, Chordata, Lepidosauria, Squamata, Lacertidae. The record is from the annotation of a GenBank genome assembly.
UUAACAUAGCUCAGUUGGUGGGGUAUGAGACUCUUAAUAUCAGGGCCGUGGGUCUGAUCCUCACACUGGGCAAAA